This 468-nucleotide ribosomal RNA is filed under the name uncultured bacterium. RNAcentral's name for it is "partial 16S ribosomal RNA". It matches the Rfam family "Bacterial small subunit ribosomal RNA", at positions 28 to 507 of the family's 1533-position model. The record is from RNAcentral.
GACGAACGCUGGCGGCGUGCUUAACACAUGCAAGUCGAACGGAAAGGCCCUGUUUUUGUGGGGUGCCCGGGUGGCGAGCGGGUGAGUAACACAUAAGUAACCUGCCCUUCACUUUCGGAUAACUACCCGCAACUAGGUCUAAUACCGACUAGGAGCUCUGGCUGCGUGGUGUGGGUUGGAUGGUUACGGUGGUUGGGGUUGGACUCGCGGCUUGUCAGUUUGUUCGCGGGGUAGUGGCUUGCCAGGGCUUUGAUGGGUAGCCGGGCUGAGAGGGGGACCGGCCCCCUGGGGACUGGGAUACGGCCCGGACUCGUACGGGAGGCAGCAGAGGGGGAGAUAGCACAAUGGGCGGACGCCUGGUGCAGCAACGCCGCGUGCGGGAUGACGGCCUUCUGGUUGUAAGCCGCUGUCGCGUGUGAUGAAGCUGGAUUGACGGUAACGGGUAAAGAAGCACCGGCUAACUACGUG